RNAcentral lists this ribosomal RNA (253 nucleotides) under uncultured bacterium. Its description in RNAcentral is "partial 16S ribosomal RNA". It matches the Rfam family "Bacterial small subunit ribosomal RNA", at positions 524 to 776 of the family's 1533-position model. The record is from RNAcentral.
GACGUAGGGCGCGAGCGUUGUCCGGAUUUAUUGGGCGUAAAGAGCUCGUAGGCGGUUUGUCGCGUCUGGUGUGAAAAUCCAGGGCUUAACCCUGGACCCGCAUCGGGUACGGGCAGACUAGAGUGCGGUAGGGGAGAUCGGAAUUCCUGGUGUAGCGGUGAAAUGCGCAGAUAUUGGGAGGAACACCAGUGGCGAAGGCGGCUCACUGGACCGGAACUGACGCUGAGGCGCGAAAGCGUGGGGAGCAAACGGG